GGUGGUCCAAGUGCAAUCUAAUGGCCAAAAAUUAAUGAUAUGGGUAUACUACAAAUUCUAAGGAUUUUAAGACUCCUUUUGCUACCAAAAAAAGGUAAAAAAUUUAUUUAUAAAUAGGAGAUCCAAAAAUAAGAGUGGAGAGAAGACAAAAUCAGUGAAAAAAUUAAAAAAAAUAGAAAAAAAUUAGAUAAGUUUAAGAAUCCAAAGAGA
RNAcentral lists this long non-coding RNA (210 nucleotides) under Elaeis guineensis (African oil palm). RNAcentral's name for it is "long non-coding RNA (EGUI_LNC044461)". The record is from RNAcentral. Lineage: Eukaryota; Viridiplantae; Streptophyta; Magnoliopsida; Arecales; Arecaceae.